RNAcentral lists this transfer RNA (826 nucleotides) under Bradyrhizobium japonicum. Its description in RNAcentral is "partial 16S-23S ribosomal RNA intergenic spacer; may also contain 16S ribosomal RNA and 23S ribosomal RNA". The stretch from base 167 to 240 matches the Rfam family "tRNA". The record is from RNAcentral. Lineage: Bacteria; Pseudomonadati; Pseudomonadota; Alphaproteobacteria; Hyphomicrobiales; Nitrobacteraceae.
GGCAUGCUAUCGGAUCGUUUUAGAAACAUCAGUGGCCAAUGAUCGUCAGGAUCGUUGAGCUGCAUUGGCGGGAUUUCGCCGUCUUCGUUUCUCUUUCUUCGCGGACGAACACGCGCUGGGGCUGCAACCUUGCAGGAUCCCUGGUCCUUGACUGGAUAUGCGUUAGGGGCUUGUAGCUCAGUUGGUUAGAGCGCGCGCUUGAUAAGCGUGAGGUCGGAAGUUCAAGUCUUCCCAGGCCCACCACACUCAUCGGGUAAGCAUUCGUCUUCUGGUUACGGGGCCAUAGCUCAGCUGGGAGAGCGCGUGCUUUGCAAGCAUGAGGUCGUCGGUUCGAUCCCGUCUGGCUCCACCAGAUGGUUUGAUCACCAACGGCAUGAUGACCGUCGUCCGCGAAACAUCACUUCGCACCCACUAGUCCGGAUGGACAGUGAGGCUGCGGGAUUUCUGACAUCUUAGAGAGGAGAUCGAUCCGAGUUGGAUCGUGCAGCAAGCAAUUGCCGCGCGAUACUUCAUUAUCUCCGGAUCAUUUCGGCGCUUGCUUCGCCCUUCAAGGUCAAACUUGAGAGGUGAUGCGAGUUGUAAAUGAUCCUUUUAGCGAAGCUUGACCGCCUCGCUAUCGGAACGAUCUUACGAAGCAAGCUGGUCUUUCUAAUCAUUGUCCGGCUGCAGAUAGCGUUCAUCGAGGGCGCGUGCCGCAAGGCAAUUCUGCAGACAACAUUCUGCCGAGUGUGUGGACAUUGAUAAUGAGAGCAAUCAAGUGCCUUAAGGGUGUUCGGUGGAUGCCUUGGCGCUGAGAGGCGAAGAAGGACGUGCUACGCUGCGAUAA